AACGAACGCUGGCGGCGCGCCUAAUACAUGCAAGUCGAGCGAGAAGGUGUAGCAAUACACUUGUAAAGCGGCGAACGGGUGAGGAAUACAUGGGUAACCUACCCUCGAGUGGGGAAUAACUAGCCGAAAGGUUAGCUAAUACCGCGUACGCUUCCGGGACUGCGGUUCCGGAAGGAAAGCGAUACUGUGAGUAUCGCGCUCUUGGAUGGGCUCAUGUCCUAUCAGCUUGUUGGNGAGGUAACGGCUCACCAAGGCUUCGACGGGUAGCUGGUCUGAGAGGACGAUCAGCCACACUGGCACUGCGACACGGGCCAGACUCCUACGGGAGGCAGCAGUAAGGAUAUUGCGCAAUGGACGACAGUCUGACGCAGCGACGCCGCGUGGGGGACGAAGGUCUUCGGA
RNAcentral lists this ribosomal RNA (402 nucleotides) under uncultured bacterium. Its description in RNAcentral is "bacterial SSU rRNA". It matches the Rfam family "Bacterial small subunit ribosomal RNA", at positions 29 to 422 of the family's 1533-position model. The record is from RNAcentral.